RNAcentral lists this long non-coding RNA (2559 nucleotides) under Musa acuminata (dwarf banana). RNAcentral describes it as "long non-coding RNA (MACU_LNC005092)". The record is from RNAcentral. Lineage: Eukaryota; Viridiplantae; Streptophyta; Magnoliopsida; Zingiberales; Musaceae.
UCCGUGAACGAUUUCUUCACCUCCAGAAGAACUUCCAUGUCCACCGAGUCCAAGUGCCGGCCAAGAGCCAAAGGGGGCACGAAAGAGAUGACGACCACCAGGAGAACAACCAGCAUCAGCCUCUGGUACUUAUCCAUCUCUACACUUUAGUUACUGUCGUUAUCUGAAUAGAGCACUGAUAGCAGCAGUAGUGGUAAGAAGAAGAAGAAGAAGAGGAGGAAGAAGGGUAGAGGAGGAUGUUGGGUAGACUCAUGCAUGCAUGCAUGCAUGGGAUCAGGAAUGCCGAGUGCCUGACAGGGGUGUUUUGAGUUGUUCUUGUCCUGUGGAGUUCUGCGUUGGGCUGCGUGUAGUUUGGGGAAAUGGAGAGAUUAAAGAGGAGAGAGAGAUGGGUCUUGUGAGGCAACCUUAGCAAAUGGCCUUUNNNNNNNNNNNNNNNNNNNNUUUCAUCGGAGAGAGAGAGAGAGAGAGAGAGACCUGCGGCGAUGGCAAGGGAACACAGAAGCUGGGGUUUGGGAGGAGACGAGGGGGUGGUGUCAUCAAAUCGGAGGGUAAGGUUGAUGGAGCGUGUGGGGUUGGCUUCGUGGGUUGGGUUUGGAAAAGGUAGCAGUUGGGGCUCCAUCAAUAGGACAUGUUGACACCGCAUUCACUUGUUGUGUUAGUUUUGCGACCGAAUCUGCCUCCCAAGAGAUCCAACUCAUCCUAUGUGGCUGCCUCACGGACAUGCUCUGUGCGGGGCCCCCCAAGAGAGGAGAUAUCUGAGAGAAGGGAUAGGAAACGGACCGUCGUCGGUACACAACAUCCAUCAUCAUCUGGUUCUAAAGAAACACCUGCAUGUUGAGGUUACAUUUCCAAAUGAAGAGAUCAUAUUUCAACACAAGUACAUAGCUGUGCCGGUAGUCACAGCAGCUUAAUUCCUCCAUACCAACAUGCUCAUGAUUUCUACUCCAUACAACCUGCACCAGUUUCAUGCUUUCAAUCUCACCAAUUAUUAUUAUUAUUGGUUUACCGAGUUUGCUUUCCUGCCGCCCAACAGUUGACUCUCGUCAUAGAAAUGGAAUGACAUGUUAGAUUCCAGAACUCAUCCGUCCGAUUAAACCUCCUUCUUCCUCAUCCUCCUGCCUUUACCACACUGCCUCCUUUGCAUCAUCAUCCACCUUGCCUCCUGCAGCUAGAACUCUUAGGUCCUACGGACCAUGGGCAGGUCCUGAUGAUGUUGUGGUGAUGCAGCAGCAUCUCAGAAACUUGUCGCCUUUACUCGAUGUUUAUGCAGCUGUUGUUGAUUCUUUAACAACUCGGAAGAAUGGCAUUUAGGGUCACGGGGUUGAUCAAACCACCCAGUCAGUGCCCUAGUCAAUUCUUCUGCGUUGUUCCUGUUCCUUUGCGUGUCUGCUUCUCUCUCUCUCUCUCUCUCUGUCUUGCAAACUAAUAGGGCAUCGGAACAGAAUCACCAAACCCAGCUGUCUUUUAGUGCCCACUCUUUCUCUUUCUCCUCUAGUGGAGAAGCAGGAGAAAUGCAGCAACGACUCAAUUAGUGAUUGCUGCAAUAUAAUAUGGCCAUGAUCUCUAUUCAUGCGUGUGAUAGGACAUGGAGGAUUGGAUAAGGAGCUCUUAUGGUGGGGGAGUAGUCUUCUAAAUGCUACAUGACUUUGGUGGUCAUUAAGCCUCCUACUAUUUGGUAAACCACCCCUCUUUGGCUCCCCCCCUAAGUUUCUUUUGUGCUUGCUUGCUCAAUGAUUUGAGCCCCUUGAGUUGCUCUUCCCAGUCUUGCUCUAUCAUGUAGAGAAUUGUUGAGGAUAUGGCCUUUGGGCAAAAUGCCUUCCAUGAUAUGAUGAUAUGAACAAGAAAGAGAGAGAGAGAGAGAGAGGUCUUACCACCAGCUACCAUCGCUGGCAAAAUCUGAACAGUGACACUUGGACUAACACCUUUUGUGCAUGACACAUGACAUCCUAACUAGUUUCAUCCCUACUGAUUUGGAACUUAAGAAUACGGGCAUCGUGCGUCUACUACAGAUUGUUUAGUCAAUAAUUGCUUAGAUCGCUUGCAUUUAGUAAAAGCAAUGAACAGCUUAGACAAUCUUACAUGACCAAAGGACAACGAGAAGGAUGGCACUGAGGUCAACAUGCUACCUCACCAGAUUUGGCUCUUUCUCAUCUCAACGCGGUCAGUGAGACAUCACGUUGUAACGUCGUAAGGACGUAGAAUAUGCUUCUGCCUCCGGGAAGACAUUCUAUUGCAAUGUCUCAACGAUCUUAUCUGUGGUUUGUCUGAGGGGGUAGGAAAAGAAAAAACAAGCAGAAAUAUAGCCUUGAGGAAUUAAUAUGUAUGUAUGAUCGGGUAGAGCACCAAAGUUAAUUGUUUUCUCACUUCCAGUUGCACAUGGACCCAACAGUUUUAACUCGACUGCGUCUUCAAUGUCCGACGCAGCAGGACAAGAUUUAGUUCAGUGAUGGCGAGGAACAAGACGAGAAACUCGGCGAGUCACAUGUGAGCUCGGCACACAUUAUUAUUGGGCAGGAAGCAGGCUUUUGUGGCUUGAUGUCACCGCUGCCUUUGGCUCAC